Molecule: long non-coding RNA, 145 nt
Organism: Sander lucioperca (pikeperch)
Lineage: Eukaryota; Metazoa; Chordata; Actinopteri; Perciformes; Percidae
Exons: 3
Source: RefSeq, a predicted model, not a curated record
AUAUGGACAAUCUAAGGCACAUGUGUCAAACUCAAGGCCCGAGGGCCAAAUCCGGCCCCUUGCAGAUUUAGAUCUGGCCCGUAUAUCAAUUUGGGUUCACAAUACAUUUUGGCCCGCCUAGUUGUGCGCCAAACCAAGAACACAG